Molecule: ribosomal RNA, 491 nt
Filed under: uncultured bacterium
Lineage: Bacteria
Description: partial 16S ribosomal RNA
Rfam family: Bacterial small subunit ribosomal RNA
Source: RNAcentral
AGUGAACGCUGGCGGUAGGCCUAACACAUGCAAGUCGAACGGCAGCACAGUAAGAGCUUGCUCUUACGGGUGGCGAGUGGCGGACGGGUGAGGAAUACAUCGGAAUCUACUUUUUCGUGGGGGUUAAGGAGGGGAAACUAAGCCUAAUACCCAAUACGCCUACGGGUGAAAAGCAGGGGACCUCGGAACUUGCGCGGUUGAAUGGGCCGAUGUCGGAUUAGCUAGUUGGCGGGGUAAAGGCCCACCAAGGCGACGAUCCGUAGCUGGUCUGAGAGGAUGAUCAGCCACACUGGAACUGAGACACGGUCCAGACUCCUACGGGAGGCAGCAGUGGGGAAUAUUGGACAAUGGGCGCAAGCCUGAUCCAGCCAUACCGCGUGGGUGAAGAAGGCCUUCGGGUUGUAAAGCCCUUUUGUUGGGAAAGAAAAGCAGCAGGUUAAUACCCCGCUGUUCUGACGGUACCCAAAGAAUAAGCACCGGCUAACUUCGUG